CCCUUAGAUGUUCUGGGCCGCACGCGCGCUACACUGAUGCAUUCAACGAGCCUAUCCUUGACCGACAGGUCCGGGUAAUCUUUGAAUCUGCAUCGUGACGGGGAUAGAUUAUUGCAAUUAUUAAUCUUCAACGAGGAAUGCCUAGUAGGCGCAAGUCAUCAGCUUGCGUCGAUUACGUCCCUGCCCUUUGUACACACCGCCCGUCGCUCCUACCGAUUGGGUGUGCUGGUGAAAUGUUCGGAUCGGCCGUUUGUCGCGGUUUCCGCGGCUCGUAGCUGAGAAGUUCAUUAAACCCUCCCACCUAGAGGAAGGAGAAGUCGUAACA
Molecule: ribosomal RNA, 325 nt
Filed under: uncultured eukaryote
Lineage: Eukaryota
Description: partial 18S ribosomal RNA
Rfam family: Eukaryotic small subunit ribosomal RNA
Source: RNAcentral